GACGAACGCUGGCGGCGUGCUUAACACAUGCAAGUCGAACGGAAAGGCCCUGCUUUUGUGGGGUGCUCGAGUGGCGAACGGGGGAGUAACACAUGAGUAACCUGCCCUUGACCUUGGGAUAACUUCAGGAAAAUGGGGCUAAUACCGGAUAGGAGCUCCUGCUGCAUGGUGUGGGUUGGAAAGAUUCGGCGGUGGGGGAUGGACUCGCUGGUUAUCAGCUUGUUGGUGGGGUAGUGGCUUACCAAGGCUGUGACGGGUAGCCCGCCUGAGAGGGUGAACGGCCACAAUGGGACUGAGAUACGGAGCAGUCUCCUACGGGAGGCAGCAGUGGGGAAUAUGGCACAGUGAGCGGGAGCCAGAUGCAGCAACGCCGCGUGCGGGAUGACGGCCUUCGGGUUGUAAACCGAUGUCGACUGUGAUGAAGCGUGAGUGACGGUAAUGGGUAAAGAAGCACCGGCUAACUACGUG
Molecule: ribosomal RNA, 468 nt
Filed under: uncultured bacterium
Lineage: Bacteria
Description: partial 16S ribosomal RNA
Rfam family: Bacterial small subunit ribosomal RNA
Source: RNAcentral